UAUUCAUUCUUUUCAAUUUUCUGGCGGCGUCGGUAGUGUGAUUACAUAAUUUUUUCGCGAAAUUGUCUUCGGUUGUAAAUUUUUAUUAAAAAGUGUGUUUAAUUUGUGAAAUAUUAAAGAAAUGUGUGCAAAAAGUGUGGUAAAGUCUGUAUGGAAUGUCUAUAAACAACAGUUUUCUUCUUUAUGAUGGUCAAUACGAGUAUCGCUUUGUCAUUUAUCACCAGCAAUUUCUUCUCUCAACUAGGUUGGUCUAACAGUUGUUGAGAAAGUGUGUGUUGUGUGUGGCAAGGAAAAGGAAACAGGAAGUUAACCAUAGAGAUAUAUUAUUAAAUAUUGAAACCAUUGUUUCGAAGCGUCGAAAUGCCGUACAUAAUGAACCUGUUCGAUCUUUCUACAAUUUAUAUCAUCGAGAAAUAUUUCUAUUUAGCCUCAACAAGUUCGAUUCAUUAAUUGCAAAGGGGAAAAUAACGAUUGCUGCUAAUUUACUUAAAUCGAUAGUUAUAAAAGUCAUUAGAAAUUUAACUAAUCCAUCAAAGCGGCUUAACAAGGAAAAAAUCCAAAUUCUCUCACUGGUCUCCAUAUCCAACAGGUUGUGCUUUCUAUUUGAUGCGAGAUAUUCAAAUGUAUACAUUUAAUAAGUAUAAUCUAAUUAAGAAUAACAAAAAUAUUGUACAAUAUUAUUUUAAUUAUAUAGCUCUAAACUUUAUAUUAUAUUAUGAGUAAUAUAAUAGGUAAAGUUUUAUACAAUUCCCUAAAUUAAAUAAUUAUUUUCUGUUUAAUUAUCAUUAUUUUCAUUAACCAUAUUCAAAAAUAAAGAAAAUUUGUUUUAAAAACACA
Molecule: long non-coding RNA, 837 nt
Organism: Lucilia cuprina (Australian sheep blowfly)
Lineage: Eukaryota; Metazoa; Arthropoda; Insecta; Diptera; Calliphoridae
Exons: 4
Source: RefSeq, a predicted model, not a curated record